GAUGAACGCUGGCGGCGUGCCUAAUACAUGCAAGUCGAGCGAACAGACGAGGAGCUUGCUCCUCUGACGUUAGCGGCGGACGGGUGAGUAACACGUGGAUAACCUACCUAUAAGACUGGGAUAACUUCGGGAAACCGGAGCUAAUACCGGAUAAUAUAUUGAACCGCAUGGUUCAAUAGUGAAAGACGGUUUUGCUGUCACUUAUAGAUGGAUCCGCGCCGCAUUAGCUAGUCGGUAAGGUAACGGCUUACCAAGGCAACGAUGCGUAGCCGACCUGAGAGGGUGAUCGGCCACACUGGAACUGAGACACGGUCCAGACUCCUACGGGAGGCAGCAGUAGGGAAUCUUCCGCAAUGGGCGAAAGCCUGACGGAGCAACGCCGCGUGAGUGAUGAAGGUCUUCGGAUCGUAAAACUCUGUUACUAGGGAAGAACAAAUGUGUAAGUAACUAUGCACGUCUUGACGGUACCUAAUCAGAAAGCCACGGCUAACUACGUG
This 497-nucleotide ribosomal RNA is filed under the name uncultured bacterium. RNAcentral's name for it is "partial 16S ribosomal RNA". It matches the Rfam family "Bacterial small subunit ribosomal RNA", at positions 28 to 507 of the family's 1533-position model. The record is from RNAcentral.